This 460-nucleotide ribosomal RNA is filed under the name uncultured bacterium. Its description in RNAcentral is "partial 16S ribosomal RNA". It matches the Rfam family "Bacterial small subunit ribosomal RNA", at positions 338 to 795 of the family's 1533-position model. The record is from RNAcentral.
CCUACGGGUGGCAGCAGUGAGGAAUAUUGGUCAAUGGACGGAAGUCUGAACCAGCCAUGCCGCGUGCAGGAAGAAGGCUCUAUGAGUUGUAAACUGCUUUUGUAAAAGGGUAAACCUGAAUACGUGUAUUCAGCUGAAAGUACUGUACGAAUAAGGAUCGGCUAACUCCGUGCCAGCAGCCGCUGUAAUACGGAGGAUCCAAGCGUUAUCCGGAUUUAUUGGGGUUAAAGGGUGCGUAGGCGGAUUGUUAAGUUAGAGGUGAAAGUUCCGGGCUUAACUCGGGAAUUUCCUCUAAAACUGUUUGUCUUGAGAGUAGUUGCGGUAGGCGGAAUGUAUGGUGUAGCGGUGAAAUGCUUAGAGAUCAUACAGAACCCCGAUUGCGAAGGCAGCUUACCAAUCUAUAUCUGACGUUGAGGCACGAAAGCGUGGGGAGCAAACAGGAUUAGAUACCCUAGUAGUC